RNAcentral lists this ribosomal RNA (340 nucleotides) under uncultured bacterium. Its description in RNAcentral is "partial 16S ribosomal RNA". It matches the Rfam family "Bacterial small subunit ribosomal RNA", at positions 469 to 808 of the family's 1533-position model. The record is from RNAcentral.
CUGUACNUUCUCNCANAANAAGCACCGGCUAACUCCGUGCCAGCAGCCGCGGUAAUACGGAGGGUGCAAGCGUUAAUCGGAAUUACUGGGCGUAAAGCGCACGCAGGCGGUUGGAUAAGUUAGAUGUGAAAGCCCCGGGCUCAACCUGGGAAUUGCAUUUAAAACUGUCCAGCUAGAGUCUUGUAGAGGGGGGUAGAAUUCCAGGUGUAGCGGUGAAAUGCGUAGAGAUCUGGAGGAAUACCGGUGGCGAAGGCGGCCCCCUGGACAAAGACUGACGCUCAGGUGCNAAAGCGUGGGGAGCAAACAGGAUUANAUACCCUGGUAGUCCANGGNCGAAUUC